GACAAACGCUGGCGGCAUGCCUAACACAUGCAAGUCGAACGGACAGAACAGGGAAGCUUUUCGGAGUGGAACUGGAAAGUUAGUGGCGGAAGGGUGAGUAACGCGUGGACAACCUACCUUGUAAAGGGGAAUAACCUCGAGAAAUCGAAGCUAAUACCCCAUAAUAACCUUGCUUCGCAUGAAGUAAGGAGGAAAGGCGGCCUUUGCGCUGUCGAUACAAGAUGGGUCCGCGUCUGAUUAGCUAGUUGGUGAGGUAAAGGCUCACCAAGGCGACGAUCAGUAGCCGGCCUGAGAGGGUGAUCGGCCACAUUGGGACUGAGACACGGCCCAGACUCCUACGGGAGGCAGCAGUGGGGAAUCUUCCGCAAUGGGCGAAAGCCUGACGGAGCAAUGCCGCGUGAGUGAAGAAGGCCUUCGGGUUGUAAAACUCUGUCCUUAUCGAAGAGAGAGUGUUGUAGUAACUGACAACACUAGGACGGUAGAUGAGGAGGAAGCCCCGGCUAACUAUGUG
This 511-nucleotide ribosomal RNA is filed under the name uncultured bacterium. RNAcentral's name for it is "partial 16S ribosomal RNA". It matches the Rfam family "Bacterial small subunit ribosomal RNA", at positions 28 to 507 of the family's 1533-position model. The record is from RNAcentral.